UACGGAAGGCAGCAGUGGGGAAUAUUGCACAAUGGGCGAAAGCCUGAUGCAGCUAUGCCGCGUGUAUGAAGAAGGCCUUAGGGUUGUAAAGUACUUUCAUCGGGGAGGAAAAACAAAACUAAUAAUUUUAUUUCUUGACGUUACCCGAAAAAGAAGCACCGGCUAACUCCGUGCCAGCAGCCGCGGUAAUACGGAGGGUGCUAGCGUUAAUCAGAAUUACUGGGCGUAAAGAGCACGUAGGUGGUUUUUUUAAGUCAGAUGUGAAAUCCCUGGGCUUAACCUGGAACUGCAUUUUGAAACUGAAAUACUAGAGUAUCGUAGAGGGAGGUAGAAUUCUAGGUGUAGCGGUGAAAUGCGUAGAUAUCUGGAGGAAUACCUGUGGCGAAAGCGGCCUCCUAAACGAAUACUGACACUGAGGUGCGAAAGCGUGGGGAGCGAAAC
RNAcentral lists this ribosomal RNA (441 nucleotides) under uncultured bacterium. RNAcentral describes it as "bacterial SSU rRNA". It matches the Rfam family "Bacterial small subunit ribosomal RNA", at positions 340 to 774 of the family's 1533-position model. The record is from RNAcentral.